GGGGAUUGGACAUGGGCGAAAGCUGCAUCAGCCUAUUCCGCGUGAGUGAAGAAGGCCUUCGGGUUGUAAAGCUCUUUCGCAAGGGAAGAAAACUUAUAUUCUAAUAAAGUAUGAGGAUGACGGUACCUUGAUAAGAAGCACCGGCUAACUACGUGCCAGCAGCCGCGGUAAUACGUAGGGUGCGAGCGUUAAUCGGAAUUACUGGGCGUAAAGCGUGCGCAGGCGGUUUUGAAAGUCAGAUGUGAAAUCCCCGAGCUCAACUUGGGAACUGCGUUUGAAACUCCAAAGCUAGAGUAUAGGAGAGGGGGGUAGAAUUCCGCGUGUAGCAGUGAAAUGCGUAGAGAUGUGGAGGAAUACCAAUGGCGAAGGCAGCCCCCUGGCCUAAUACUGACGCUCAUGCACGAAAGCGUGGGGAGCAAACAGGAUUAGAUACCCUGGUAGUCCACGCCCUAAACGAUGUCUACUAGUUGUUGGUGGAGUAAAAUCCAUUAGUAACGCAGCUAACGCGUGAAGUAGACCGCCUGGGGAGUACGGUCGCAAGAUUAAAACUCAAAUGAAUUGACGGGGGCCCGCACAAGCGGUGGAUUAUGUGGACUUAAAUUCGAUGCAACGCGGAAAAACUUUA
RNAcentral lists this ribosomal RNA (625 nucleotides) under endosymbiont of Sphenophorus levis. Its description in RNAcentral is "bacterial SSU rRNA". It matches the Rfam family "Bacterial small subunit ribosomal RNA", at positions 359 to 974 of the family's 1533-position model. The record is from RNAcentral. Lineage: Bacteria; Pseudomonadati; Pseudomonadota; Gammaproteobacteria.